This 555-nucleotide ribosomal RNA is filed under the name uncultured bacterium. RNAcentral describes it as "bacterial SSU rRNA". It matches the Rfam family "Bacterial small subunit ribosomal RNA", at positions 567 to 1116 of the family's 1533-position model. The record is from RNAcentral.
GCGCGUAGGCGGUCUGUUAAGUGAGAAGUGAAAUCUCCAGGGCUCAACCCGGAAACCGCUUUUCAUACUGGCAGACUUGAGGAAAGCAGAGGUUUGUGGAAUUCCUGGUGUAGCGGUGAAAUGCGUUGAUAUCAGGAGGAACACCCAUGGCGAAGGCAGCAAACUGGGCUUUAUCUGACGCUGAGGCGCGAAAGCGUGGGUAGCAAACAGGAUUAGAUACCCUGGUAGUCCACGCCCUAAACGAUGGAUACUAGGCGUAAGAGGUAUCGACCCCUCUUGUGCCGCAGCUAACGCAUUAAGUAUCCCGCCUGGGGACUACGGCCGCAAGGUUGAAACUCAAAUGAAUUGACGGGGACCCGCACAAGCGGUGGAGCAUGUGGAUUAAUUCGAUACUAACCGAAGAACCUUACCCAGGUUUGACAUCGAUGGUAAGCCACUGAAAGGUGGCCCUCCCCCACAAGGGGACCUGAAGACACUUGUUGCAUGGCUGUCGUCAGCUCGUGCCGUGAGGUGUACGGUUAAGUCCGCCAACGAGCGCAACCCUCGUUCUGUGUU